GAAAGAAAGACCAGAGUACUGCUCCAUCACUUUAUUCAGUGCUAGGGAUUGAUCUCAAGACUCACACAUGAAAGUCAUGAACUUUAAAGCUGGGACAAGCCCUUAAUCCAUGUGAUGCUUUGUAAACUGUGGGUCAAUUUCUAGUUCUGGAUGCCCAUUUUAAUUCUUCAGCAACCAUUCCUGCUUCUUCUGGGUUCAAGACUCUGUCUCCAGCAUCAUGAUCUAAACAAACAAAUUUAAGAGAUCUCUCAAAAACAGACAAAGGAAAGAAUGGGUAUGAAUUUUAGAGGCAUCUUGCACAUGAAGAACUAAGAACUUUGAGUCCAUGGAGCAAAAUCUAGGUCUUGGUACUCCCUACAAACACAGGAGUGCUCUGGAUCUCUGUUGUCCUUCCAUGCCUGUCCUCUGCUGGCAGUGUCAUUGGUGAGUCACAUUUCUGACCAAAAGAAGCUAACACAAGAGAAUAUCCCGACCUCCAGGGAAGCUCCUGUGACUUGGGAUGAAAUGUGUGCAAAUCUACUCUUGGUUAGUACCCCCUAGUGAUAGCAGCGUUCUGCUCUCUGAAUAUAUUCUAGAGUGGUGCUGUGGCAUCUCUCCUCUCUCUUUCUCUCUCCCUGUCUCUCACCCUCUAUAUAAAAAAAGAAAAAGUGUGGAAUUGUGCAGGUAUGAAGCCUUAGUGAAAAAGCCCUGGCAAGGUUUAAAAAAAAAAAAAAAAAGGUAA
Erinaceus europaeus (western European hedgehog) is the source of this 721-nucleotide long non-coding RNA. RefSeq lists it as uncharacterized. The record is from RefSeq and is a predicted model, not a curated record. NCBI's taxonomy places the organism in Eukaryota, Metazoa, Chordata, Mammalia, Eulipotyphla, Erinaceidae. The transcript has 3 exons.